CUAGAAUGCAGUGGUGCUAUCUCCACUCACUGCAGUCUCCAACUCCCAGGCUCAAGUGAUCCUCCCAAGUCGCUGGGACUAACAGGCAUGCGCCCCCACACCUGGCUAAUUUUGUUGCUGUUGUUUUUGUUGCAGUAGAGAUGGCGUUUUUCUAUGUUGCCCAAGCUAGUCUCAAACUACUAAGCUCAAGCAAUCCACCUGCCUCAGUCUCCCAAAGUGCUAGGAUUACAGGCAUGAGCCACGGUACCUGGCCUGUGGCUGGGACUUCUUAUAGCUUGAAUUAUAGAUUUGGGGAUCAUUUAUGAAGACAUGGCAGGUGAAGUACAGAGAAUUAAUGGUGAGAACAUAAGAAUAGGGGGAAGAACAUGUGCUCGGGAUCCACCAUACUUUGGAGGGAGAAGGAGAAGGGGAGCCUACAAGGGGAAGAAAGUGGUCAAAGAGAUGGGAGAGCCAGACAAACAGAGGGUCACAAAAGCUAAAAAUAACCAGCUUCAUGAUUUGUAGCACCCUAUGCAAAAUGAAAAGGCAGAGCCGUUUGUUCAACAAUUAUUAAGAAUAUUGGCCGGGCAUAGUGGCUCAUGCCGGUAAUCCCAGCACUUUGGGAGGCCGAGGCAAGUGGAUCACUUGAGGUCAGGAGUUCGAGACCAGCCUGGCCAACAUGGUAAAACCCCAUCUCUAGUAAAAAUACAAAAAUUAGCUGGGCGUAGUGGCCCGAGCCUGUAAUCCUAGCUACUUGGGAGGCUGAGGCUCGAGAAUCGCUUGAACCCAGGAGGUGGAGGUGGUUGCAGUGAGCGGAGAUCAUGCUGCUGCAUUCCAGCCUGGGUGACAGAGUGAGACUCUGUCACAAAAAAAAAAAAAAAAAAAAAAAGAAUAUUAAUGGCCAUUGCAGUGGCUCACAUCUGUAACCCCAGUGUUUUGGGAGGCCAAGGUGGGAGGAUCUCUUGAGGCCAGGAGUUCAAGGCUGCAGUGAGCUAUGAUUGUGCCACUGUACCCUCUGUCUAAAAUGAAAAUUCUUUUGUGCUUACUUCGGCAGCACAAAUACUAAAAUUAAAGCAAGACAGAGAGAAGAUUAGCAUGGCCCCUGUUCAAGGAUGACAUACAAAUUCAUGAAGCAGUUUAUAUUUAAAAAAUAUAUAUGUUGAAAACUUUUCAGGCCAGUCACGGUGGCUCACGCCUGUAAUCCCAGCACUCUGGGAGGUCGAGGCGGGUGGAUUACCUGAGGUCAGGAGCUUGAGACCAGCCUGGCUAACAUGGUGAAACCCUGUCUCUACUAAAAAUUCAAAAAAUUAGCUGGGCAUGGUGGCGGGCACCUGUAGUCCCAGCUGCUCAGCAGUCUGAGGCAGGAGAAUCACUUGAACCUAGGAAGCCGAGGUUGCAGUGAGCGGAGAUCACGCCAUUGCACUCCAGCUUGGGCGACAAGAGUGAAACUCGGUCUCAAGAAAAUAAAAUAAAAUAAAUUAUU
Molecule: long non-coding RNA, 1462 nt
Filed under: Homo sapiens (human)
Lineage: Eukaryota; Metazoa; Chordata; Mammalia; Primates; Hominidae
Source: RNAcentral